RNAcentral lists this ribosomal RNA (459 nucleotides) under uncultured bacterium. Its description in RNAcentral is "partial 16S ribosomal RNA". It matches the Rfam family "Bacterial small subunit ribosomal RNA", at positions 338 to 795 of the family's 1533-position model. The record is from RNAcentral.
CCUACGGGAGGCAGCAGUGAGGAAUAUUGGUCAAUGGCCGAGAGGCUGAACCAGCCAAGUCGCGUGAGGGAAGAAUGUCCUAUGGAUUGUAAACCUCUUUUGUCAGGGAGCAAAGUCACCCACGUGUGGGUGUUGGUGAGUACCUGAAGAAAAAGCAUCGGCUAACUCCGUGCCAGCAGCCGCGGUAAUACGGAGGAUGCGAGCGUUAUCCGGAUUUAUUGGGUUUAAAGGGGCCGUAGGGGGGUUAUCAAGUCAGCGGGAAAAUCUUGGAGCUCAACUCCAUCCAGCAGUUGAAACUGAUGAUCUUGAGUGGGCUAGAAGUAUGCGGAAUGCGUGGUGUAGCGGUGAAAUGCUUAGAUAUCACGCAGAACUCCGAUUGCGAAGGCAGCAUACCGGCGUCCCACUGACGCUGAAGCACGAAAGCGUGGGUAUCGAACAGGAUUAGAUACCCCAGUAGUC